AUGCAUGAUUUGGUGCACGAUCUAGCAAGAUUGGUCAUGGUUGAUGAAAUAUUUAUUGCUAGCAAACAAGGUAACACUGGGGGAAGCUUCUGCCACUUUGCAUUGCUCAAUGAUUGUCGCAGGCCAUUGAAAUCAUCCAAGUUAAGGGCACUCCGUUUCAUGGAGUGUGUUCAAACUGAAGUUCAUGGUGAUUCCUUUUCACCUGCAAAGUCUAUGCGUGUCCUGGAUUUAAGCGAGUGCUCCAUACUUAAGUUGUCAGAUUCUAUUGGUGUAUUGAAGCAGCUGAGAUAUCUUAAUGCUCCAAGAGUCCAAGAUGCAAAGAUUCCAGAUAGUAUCACCAAGCUCUCAAAAUUGAUUUACCUGAACCUUCAUGGCUCUCCCAAAAUCUUAGCACUACCAGAGUCAAUUGGAGACAUUAAGGGUCUAAUGUAUCUUGAUCUGUCAGGUUGUUCAGGAAUUGCCAAACUGCCGAAAUCUUUUGAGAGGCUACAAGAAUUGGUGCAUUUAGAUUUGUCAAUGUGUUGCAUCCGGAAGCUCCCUGAAGCUUUGGGCAGAUUCAUUAAACUAAAGUACUUAAACUUAUCACGUUGUCAGGAAAUAACAGAAUUGCCAAUCGGAUUUGGGAGUCUAAAAAAUUUGGUGCAUCUUGAUUUAUCAAGCUGCUCUGAGGUUGCUUCUAACGAUCUAGCCUUCGUUGGUCUUACUAAUCUGCAAUAUCUGAAUUUAAAAUGUACAUGUUUCACAUCGCCGUCGCUAUAUGGUCUGACCAAACUCCGGUAUUUAAAUCUAUCUGCACUCUAUAGCCAAAGACACCAUCAAGAUAUCUUUGACAUGCUCUUCGAUUCUAUAACCAUUAAUCAAGCUGAUCUAGAGCAUAUGGAUUUGUCUGAUAAUUGUGCUAUUAAUGUUAUACCUAUAAGUCUUUAUAGACUAAAAAAGCUGCAUACGUUGGACCUCUCAGGAUGUGUAUAUCUUAAGGAGAUAGAAGAAAGCAAACACACAAUUAGUAGCUUGAAGUUUCUGUAUUUAAGAGGUUGUGUCAAUCUUCAGAGAAUGCCUCAGCUUGGUGGCAGUAUAGUAUCAUUACCGCAGUUUGGGGUGCGUGUUGCUACUGAUGAAUCUAGCAGUAAUCUUGUCCUGCUACAACCCACAGACCCUAUUGAGCUGCAUAUAACUGAACUUGAAAAUGCAAAGUCCGCAGGAGAGGCACACAGUAUAAAAUUAAUGGAAAAGCGCAGUCUUGAGGACUUGGAACUGGUGUGGACUCGAGAUGCUGAGAGAUUUGUGGAUGACAUGAUUUUGUUGGAAGAACUAAUGCCACCAUGCACGUUGAAGAGGUUGGAGAUACGUGGUUACAAUAGUGUGAGCUUACCGGCCUGGCUAGUGGGCCAACUACCAAACCUAGAAUUACUAGUUCUGCGUGAUAUGGCAAACCUGGAAGAGUGGAACACGUCAUACUCGUGUGCUGAGGUGCACGUGAUUCAAACAUUGGAAAUACAUAACUGCCCCAUGUUAAGGAUGAAACCACCUCUGCCUAAAGCUAAAUCCUGGAAGAUAAGCGACAGUGAUAAUGUGUUAUCAUCGUGGAAUCACUGCACUGUGUCACACGCUGGUGCUUCAUCCUGUUCUCCAAUAACUACUACGCUAUCAGUUCAAAGAUACAGGGGGCCUCAUCAAUGGAGACUGCUUCAACACUUCCCUAGACUCUCUUCUUUGUCUGUCAUAAGGGGUGAUCUAAACAGCUCACCAGAGAUCAUUGGGCAUCUAUCCUCUUUGAGGACAAUAUGCCUAAGUCAGGUAGUCAUAGAAGAACUGCCAAAAUGGUUGGGUGAGCUCACAUCUCUACAUAAUCUGGAACUAAGGUUUAUCAAUGGUUUAGAGGAGUUCAAUGAGAGCAUGAGGCAACUCACAAUGCUACAGUCACUAAAAUUGAUCAGUUGCAAGAGCUUAUCACUGCCACACUGGUUAGGUGAAUUGACUUAUCUCAAGGAACUUAGCAUAGAUGACAAUAGAGUAUUGAGGUCUUUGCCGGCAAGCUUACAACAAAACAGCAGCAUCCAGAAAAUACAGAUCUCUGACUGCCCUGAAUUAGAGGACGUGAUUGUUGAAUCACAGGAGGGAGCGAUGAAGCUGACUCACAGCCAAGAAAGUGAGUGUGUCCUGCCCACCUCUCUGAGGGAACUUAAGAUCAGUCACUGUCAGGGUAUCAAGUCCUUGCCCGAGGGAAUACAGCAACUCACCAACCUCCAAAGUCUAGUCAUUAGUUCGUGCCCUGAACUAAGGCAAUGGUGU
RNAcentral lists this ribosomal RNA (2292 nucleotides) under Triticum aestivum (bread wheat). RNAcentral's name for it is "partial small subunit ribosomal RNA". The record is from RNAcentral. Lineage: Eukaryota; Viridiplantae; Streptophyta; Magnoliopsida; Poales; Poaceae.